This 406-nucleotide ribosomal RNA is filed under the name uncultured bacterium. RNAcentral describes it as "partial 16S ribosomal RNA". It matches the Rfam family "Bacterial small subunit ribosomal RNA", at positions 30 to 526 of the family's 1533-position model. The record is from RNAcentral.
AUUGAACGCUGGCGGCAGGCCUAACACAUGCAAGUCGAACGAGUGGCGGACGGGUGAGUAAUGUCUGGGAAACUGCCUGAUGGAAGGGGAUAACUACUGGAAACGGUAGCUAAUACCGCAUACCAUCGGAUUUGCCCAGAUGGGAUUAGCUAGUAGGUGGGGUAAAGGCUCACCUAGGCGACGAUCCCUAGCUGGUCUGAGAGGAUGACCAGCCACACUGGAACUGAUACACGGUCCAGACUCGUACGGGAGGCAGCAGUGGGUAAUAUUGGACAAUGGGCGCAAGACUGAUGCAGAAAUGCCGCGUGUAUGAAGAAGGCCUUCGGGUUGUAAAUGACUGUCAGCGGGGAGGCGUUACCCGCAGAAGAAGCACCGGCUAACUCCGUGCCAGCAGCCGCGGUAAUUC